RNAcentral lists this ribosomal RNA (253 nucleotides) under uncultured bacterium. Its description in RNAcentral is "partial 16S ribosomal RNA". It matches the Rfam family "Bacterial small subunit ribosomal RNA", at positions 524 to 776 of the family's 1533-position model. The record is from RNAcentral.
UACAGAGGAGCCAAGCGUUGUCCGGAUUGACUGGGCGUAAAGCGCACGCAGGCGGACGCGCGCGUGGGGUGUGAAAUCUGGCCGCUUAACGGCCAGGCGCCAUCCCAUACGGCGCGACUGGAGUGAUGCAGAGGUCGAUGGAAUUGCCGGUGUAGUGGUGAAAUGCGCAGAUAUCGAGAGGAACACCAGUGGCGAAGGCGAGUCCCUAGACAACUCCUGACACUGAGGCACGAAAGCUAGGGGAGCAAACAGG